RNAcentral lists this ribosomal RNA (123 nucleotides) under Triticum aestivum (bread wheat). RNAcentral describes it as "partial small subunit ribosomal RNA". The record is from RNAcentral. Lineage: Eukaryota; Viridiplantae; Streptophyta; Magnoliopsida; Poales; Poaceae.
AUGGUAACUGGGUUCAUGAGUUAUGGUCAACAAACAAUACGUGGUACAAGGUACAUAGGGCAAAGUUUCAUAACUACCUUAUCCCACACAAAUCGUUUACCUAUACGAUUCACUACCAAGUAG